GGACGGNGAAGGCUAGGCCAGCUUGGCGUUGUUGUNCNAAUUUAAGGUGGUAGGCUGAAAUCUUAGGUAAAUCCGGGGUUUCAAGGCCGAGCUGAUGACGAGUCGUCUUUUAGAUGACGAAGUGGUUGAUGCCAUGCUUCCAAGAAAAGCUUCUAAGCUUCAGGUAACCAGGAACCGUACCCCAAACCGACACAGGUCGGGUAGAGAAUAUAAGGCGCUUGAGAGAACUCGGGUGAAGGAACUAGGCAAAAUGGCACCGUAACUUCGGGAGAAGGUGCGCCGGCUAGGGUGAAGGAUUUACUCCGUAAGCUCUGGCUGGUCGAAGAUACCAGGCCGCUGCGACUGUUUAUUAAAACACAGCACUCUGCAAACGCGAAAGUGGACGUAUAGGGUGUGACGCCUCCCCGGUGCCGGAAGGUUAAUUGAUGGGGUUAGCGCAAGCGAAGCUCUUGAUCGAAGCCCGGUAAACGGCGGCCGUAACAAUACGGUCCUGGUAGCGAAAUUCCUUGUCGGUAAGUUCCGACCUGCACGAAUGGCGUAACGAUGGCGGCGCUGUCUCCACCCGAGACUCAGUGAAAUUGAAAUCGCUGUGAAGAUGCAGUGUAUCCGCGGCUAGACGGAAAGACCCCGUGAACCUUUACUGNAGCUUUGCACUGGACUUUGAGCCUGCUUGUGUAGGAUAGGUGGGAGGCUUGAAGCGUGGACGCCAGUUCGCGUGGACCAUCCUUGAAAUACCACCCUGGCAUGCUUGAGGUUCUACUCUGGUCCGUAAUCCGGAUCGAGGCAGUAUGGUGGGCAGUUUGACUGGGGCGGUCUCCUAAAGAGUAACGGAGGAGUACGAAGGUGCGCUCAGACCGGUCGGAAAUCGGUCGCAUGAGUAUAAAGGCAAAAGCGCGCUUGACUGCGAGACAGACACGUCGAGCAGGUACGAAAGUAGGUCUUAGUGAUCCGGUGGUUCUGUAUGGAAGGGCCAUCGCUCAACGGAUAAAAGGUACUCCGGGGAUAACAGGCUGAUACGCCCAAGAGUUCUAUAGACGGCGGUGUUUGGCACCUCGGUGUCGGCUCAUCACAUCCUGGGGCUGAAGCCGGUCCCAAGGGUAUGGCUGUUCGCCAUUUAAAGUGGUACGCGAGCUGGGUUAAGAACGUCGUGAGACAGUUCGGUCCCUAUCUGCCGUGGACGUUUGAGAUUUGAGAGGGCUGCUCCUAGUACGAGAGGACCGGAGUGGACGAACCUCUGGUGUUCCGGUUGUCACGCCAGUGGCAUUGCCGGGUAGCUAUGUUCGGAAAAGAUAACCGCUGAAAGCAUCUAAGCGGAAACUUGCCUCAAGAUGAGAUCUCACUGGGAACUUGAUUCCCCUGAAGGGCCGUCGAAGACUACGACGUUGAUAGGCUGGGUGUGUNGCGUUGUGAGGCGUUGAGCUAACCAGUACUAAUUGCCCGUGAGGCNUG
This 1449-nucleotide ribosomal RNA is filed under the name metagenome. RNAcentral describes it as "bacterial LSU rRNA". It matches the Rfam family "Bacterial large subunit ribosomal RNA", at positions 1470 to 2925 of the family's 2925-position model. The record is from RNAcentral.